GACGAACGCUGGCGGCGUGCUUAGCACAUGCAAGUCGAACGGAAAGGCCCUGCUUUUGUGGGGUGCUCGAGUGGCGAACGGGUGAGUAACACGUGAGUAACCUGCCCUUGACUUUGGGAUAACUUCAGGAAACUGGGGCUAAUACCGGAUAGGAGCUCCUGCUGCAUGGUGGGGGUUGGAAAGUUUCGGCGGUUGGGGAUGGACUCGCGGCUUAUCAGCUUGUUGGUGGGGUAGUGGCUUACCAAGGCUUUGACGGGUAGCCGGCCUGAGAGGGUGACCGGCCACAUUGGGACUGAGAUACGGCCCAGACUCCUACGGGAGGCAGCAGUGGGGAAUAUUGCACAAUGGGCGGAAGCCUGAUGCAGCAACGCCGCGUGCGGGAUGACGGCCUUCGGGUUGUAAACCGCUUUCGCCUGUGACGAAGCGUGAGUGACGGUAAUGGGGAAAGAAGCACCGGCUAACUACGG
This 467-nucleotide ribosomal RNA is filed under the name uncultured bacterium. Its description in RNAcentral is "partial 16S ribosomal RNA". It matches the Rfam family "Bacterial small subunit ribosomal RNA", at positions 28 to 506 of the family's 1533-position model. The record is from RNAcentral.